This is a long non-coding RNA of Daphnia pulex (common water flea), 354 nucleotides long. RefSeq lists it as uncharacterized. NCBI's taxonomy places the organism in Eukaryota, Metazoa, Arthropoda, Branchiopoda, Diplostraca, Daphniidae. The transcript has 3 exons. The record is from RefSeq and is a predicted model, not a curated record.
GUGCAACCAACUUAGGAUUCAAAACUCAUUACUAGAUGUCGCUAGUGUCGCCCUUGUUGUUCUUAUCGUGAAUCGAGGCAAAAUAGGCGAAGCAAUUGGUUGCUAAUUUCUACUUAUAUUCCUGUGAUUUCAUACACCAAAUUGAACUUCGUAACCCAUAUGCAUACUGUCAGUCAUUCCAACAAGUUGACUUAGCGCUAUUCAGUCACUUUCCAUUCAAUAGACCCAUCAUGCUGUCAAUAGCCUAAAACUAAUGUUUGAAGCUCACAUUUAGUGAAAUACAAAUCUUCCGAGUUAAGGAUCUUUUCUGAAUCUCCAAAUUUUGGUGGUGUACACUGCAACACCAUGUUUGUU